Molecule: ribosomal RNA, 484 nt
Filed under: uncultured bacterium
Lineage: Bacteria
Description: partial 16S ribosomal RNA
Rfam family: Bacterial small subunit ribosomal RNA
Source: RNAcentral
AGUGAACGCUGGCGGCGUGCUUAACACAUGCAAGUCGAACGAGAACGGGUUAUAGCUUGCUAUAAUUGUCAGCUAAGUGGCGCACGGGUGAGUAAUGUAUAGGUAAUAUGCCUCUUACUAAGGGAUAACAAAUGGAAACGUUUGCUAAUACCUUAUACUCCUUAUUAACAGAAGUUAAUAAGGGAAAGAUUUAUUGGUAAGAGAUUAGCCUGUAUUGUAUCAGUUAGUUGGUGGGGUAAUGGCUUACCAAGACUAUGACACAUAACUGGUUUGAGAGGAUGAUCAGUCACACUGGAACUGAGACACGGUCCAGACUCCUACGGGAGGCAGCAGUGGGGAAUAUUGCACAAUGGACGAAAGUCUGAUGCGGCAACGCCGCUUGGAGGAUGACACAUUUCGGUGCGUAAACUCCUUUUAUAUGAGAAGAUAAUGACGGUAUUAUAUGAAUAAGCACCGGCUAACUCCGUGCCAGCCGCCGCGGUAA